RNAcentral lists this ribosomal RNA (1462 nucleotides) under uncultured Bordetella sp. RNAcentral's name for it is "partial 16S-23S ribosomal RNA intergenic spacer". It matches the Rfam family "Bacterial small subunit ribosomal RNA". Lineage: Bacteria; Pseudomonadati; Pseudomonadota; Betaproteobacteria; Burkholderiales; Alcaligenaceae. The record is from RNAcentral.
AGUCGAACGGCAGCACGGACUUCGGUCUGGUGGCGAGUGGCGAACGGGUGAGUAAUGUAUCGGAACGUGCUCAGUAGCGGGGGAUAACUACGCGAAAGGUAGCUACUGGCCCGCAUACGCCCUUCGGGGAAAGCGGGGGACCUUCGGGCCUCGCACCAUUGUGAGCGGCCGAUAUCGGAUUAGCUAGCUGGUGGGGUAACGGCUCACCAAGGCGACGAUCCGUAGCUGGUUUGAGAGGACGACCAGCCACACUGGGACUGAGACACGGCCCAGAUCACGGGAGGCAGCAGGGGGAAUUUUUGGACAAUGGGGAAACCCUGAUCCAGCCAUCUCUGCGUGUGCGAUGAAGGCCUUCGGGUUGUGUACACUUUUGGCAGGAGAAACGGCACGGGAUAAUACCCCGUGCAACUGACGGUACCUGCAGAAUAAGCACCGGCUAACUACGUGCCAGCAGCCGCGGUAAUACGUAGGGUGCAAGCGUUAAUCGGAAUUACUGGGCGUAAAGCGUGGCGCAGUAUGGCUCUGAAAGAAGGAAACUUCAGAGCUUAACUUUGGAACUGCAUUUUUAACUACUGAGCUAGAGAGUGUCAGAGGGAGGUGGAAUUCCGCGUGUAGCAGUGAAAUGCGUAGAUAUGCGGAGGAACACCGAUGGCGAAGGCAGCCUCUGGGAUAACACUGACGCUCAUGCACGAAAGCGUGGGGAGCAAACAGGAUUAGAUACCCUGGUAGUCCACGCCCUAAACGAUGUCAAUCUGGGCUGUUGGGGCCUUCGGGCCUUGGUAGCGCAGCUAACGCGAAGUUGACCGCCUGGGGAGUACGGUCGCAAGAUUAAAACCUGGGGACGGGGACUCGCACAAGCGGUGGAUGAUGUGGAUUAAUUCGAUGCAACGCGAAAACCUUACCUAAUUCUUGACAUGUCUUUUUUGAAUCCCGAAGAGAUUUGGGAGUGCUCUCGUAAGAGAACCGGAACACAGGUGCUGCAUGGCUGUCGUCAGCUCGUGUCGUGAGAUGUUGGGUUAAGUCCUGCAACGAGCGGCAACCUCUGUCAUUAGUUGCUACGAAAGGGCACUCUAUCGAGACUGCCGGUGACAAAACUGGAGGAAGGUGGGGAUGACGUCAAGUCCUCAUGGCCCUUAUGGGUAGGGCUUCACAUCGUCAUACAAUGGUCGGGACAGAGGGUCGCCAACCCGCGAGGGGGGAGCCAAUCCCAGAAACCCGAUCGUAGUCCGGAUCGCGCAGUUCGCAACUCGACUGCGUGAAGUCGGAAUCGCUAGUAAUCGCGGAUCAGCAUGUCGCGGUGAAUACGUUCCCCGGGUCUUGUACACACUGCCCGUCACACCAUGGGAGUGGGUUUUACCAGAAGUAGUUAGCCUAACCGUAAGGAGGGCGAUUACCACGGUAGGAUUCAUGACUGGGGUGUAGUCGUAACAAGGUAACUCUACGAGUUACCUUGAUGCUCCCA